CAAGUUGUGACCAAUAUUGUGGUUGAAAAGAAGAGACAAAAUGGCAUUUUGGGGGAUUGAAGUGAAGCCAGGCAAACCAUACACUCAUCGGUACAAUCGUGGAAGGCUUAAAAUUACCCAGGCAACAAUGUCAUAUUCCAAUCCUCUUUCACCAAAGAAAAGUGUAG
Non-coding RNA from Nelumbo nucifera (sacred lotus), 167 nucleotides. The record is from RefSeq and is a predicted model, not a curated record. Lineage: Eukaryota; Viridiplantae; Streptophyta; Magnoliopsida; Proteales; Nelumbonaceae.